RNAcentral lists this ribosomal RNA (253 nucleotides) under uncultured bacterium. RNAcentral describes it as "partial 16S ribosomal RNA". It matches the Rfam family "Bacterial small subunit ribosomal RNA", at positions 524 to 776 of the family's 1533-position model. The record is from RNAcentral.
UACAGAGGGUGCAAGCGUUGUUCGGAAUUACUGGGCGUAAAGCGCGUGUAGGCGGCUCUGUAAGUCGGAUGUGAAAUCCCACGGCUCAACCAUGGAAGUGCAUUCGAAACUACAGGGCUAGAGUUCUGGAGAGGAAGGUGGAAUGCUUGGUGUAGAGGUGAAAUUCGUAGAUAUCAAGCGGAACACCGGUGGCGAAGGCGGCCUUCUGGACAGUAACUGACGCUGAGACGCGAAAGCGUGGGGAGCAAACAGG